This 338-nucleotide long non-coding RNA is filed under the name Capsicum annuum. RNAcentral describes it as "long non-coding RNA (CANN_LNC009327)". Lineage: Eukaryota; Viridiplantae; Streptophyta; Magnoliopsida; Solanales; Solanaceae. The record is from RNAcentral.
CCAUUCUACACGUGGUUCUUUUGUGUCUGGAUUUCUUGCAUAUUGAAAACCUAUUCCUCCUUUUAGACUUGAAUGUCUCACCGGCGCCUUUAGUGAGUUUGAAUUUCUUCCUUCUGAGUUUGGGAUCGUAUGGGGGUGGAGAAAUUUUGGUGUCUACCAAUUCCUGUGGCACAGUCCAUUCAGCCUCCGAAAGGAUCACGUUAAUUGCUUCCGAGAUGCGAGGAGGUAACUUUCAGCUUUAUAAAUUGGCGAAGAGUAGUCGUAUAUGGAGUUACCAUUAUUUUCGCCAUCGCCGUACUUUGCUCGCAAAGCUGUCAUCGCGUGUUCGCACGGUAUUU